Small nuclear RNA from Ursus americanus (American black bear), 100 nucleotides. Lineage: Eukaryota; Metazoa; Chordata; Mammalia; Carnivora; Ursidae. The record is from Ensembl.
GUGCUCGCUUUGGCAACACAUAUGCUAAAAUUGGAACAAAACAGAGAAGAUUAGCAUGGCUCCUGCACAAGGUUGACACGCAAAGAGCUCACACAUGUGU